Molecule: ribosomal RNA, 327 nt
Filed under: uncultured Pseudomonadota bacterium
Lineage: Bacteria; Pseudomonadati; Pseudomonadota
Description: bacterial SSU rRNA
Rfam family: Bacterial small subunit ribosomal RNA
Source: RNAcentral
AUUGAACGCUGGCGGCAGGCCUAACACAUGCAAGUCGAACGGUAACAGGAAGCAGCUUGCUGCUUUGCUGACGAGUGGCGGACGGGUGAGUAAUGUCUGGGAAACUGCCUGAUGGAGGGGGAUAACUACUGGAAACGGUAGCUAAUACCGCAUAACGUCGCAAGACCAAAGAGGGGGACCUUCGGGCCUCUUGCCAUCAGAUGUGCCCAGAUGGGAUUAGCUAGUAGGUGGGGUAACGGCUCACCUAGGCGACGAUCCCUAGCUGGUCUGAGAGGAUGACCAGCCACACUGGAACUGAGACACGGUCCAGACUCCUACGGGUGGCAG